UCAAAAAAUUUAACCAGUUGCUUAAGAGUUGCUAAAGUAUUAUAACAAAUUAAAUUUAAUUCUCUUUUGUAUGAUUUAACUUAGGAUCGAUGGUUACAUAGGAUGUUUUAGAUUUUUGUAGAAAUUUGGUUGGUGUGUCAGUUUCCGAUUGGGUGAGUGAAAAAUAAAGUUUUCUUUUAUUUUUUUGUUAUGUGGUUUUCUGUCUCGUUUCUCUCUCCCGAUUGAUGGCGAUAUCAUCUCCAUAGAGAAGAAGCCGAGAAUUGAAAGGUGGUUUAGUCGGAAAGUGGAUUUCACCAGGAGGCAUCACAUCUCCACCGUAAGAGACACCAUCGACGAUCUCCGUUCAUCAAUUCGAGAGCCAAUUGAUUAACAAAAUCAGAUGCUAUUUUUUUGUUUGGACAGGAUUGCAAAACCAUUGAGACGUGUAUGUCUGUAUGAAGCCAGAACUUGGGAGGGAUUGUGUCUGCUACAUGUUCACCUUCUUGCUUCCUCAACCAGCCUCUCUCUUUCUUCCUCCUCCACGGUGAGACGAGACCUAUGGAGUUUGGUGAAACCGAAUACUAUUGUUGGCCUUUGAAUACUGUUGUUCAGUGAUGUUUCGUCUGUUGACUGGUGGAUGAUUCAAGGAAGGAGGCUGCUUGAUUGCAGAUCAAACUCAACAGGCAUCGCCCGUGAAGUACGUAGCGAACAGGGCUUCUGAUACGAUCACUCAACUCACUGACAAUGUCUACAUCUGCCGCUCUAGAUUGGCUGCUGAUUCUCAAGUUGUCUCUGACUAUGUUCGCUACUUCCUUCACCAGGAUACGUGAGUGUUUCGUUAGUGCCUUGAUUCGACGAAACUAGACGAAUUUAUGCUUAUGUUAGCUUAUAUAUCUGAAGAUUAUACAGUUUGUAUAUCUUUACGGGUUCUUUGAUCAGGCCUGGAAAGAAAACAUGACCAAAGAAGAAGCCGAGCAACUUGUUCUGAAGGCGGUAUCACUAGUCAUCGCCCGUGAUGGAGCCAGUGGAGGCGUUGUACGAACUGUCAUAGUGUGUGUGGAGCCUGGAAGGAGCUUAAUGGCUACCAACUCUCGUUUUAGCUAAUUCGUGCUAUGGAAUCCAAAAGGUAAAUGUAUCAGAUCUUUCUAUUUCUUGAUCUUUCUCUUUCUUGAUCUUUCGGCUAUUUGCAUCAUGAAUUUGCAUCAUUAAAUUGAACAAGAACUGUUUGGUAACUGUCACACUUAAACACUCACUGCUUUGUACUUGUCAUUAAUUGCAAACUUAAACACACAUUGUUGGUUGUUGUCACAGUUAAACACUUAUUGUCUAGUGUUAGGUUAAACUCAAUGCUUGGUAGUUGUCACUGAUUACAUGUCACAUUUAAAAAUCAAAUACACUUACACCUCACUUCCAGUUAUCUAUUAUGUGUUUAGCUGAAGCUAAACACAUACCUUUCUUCUCCUUUACACACCUAACCAGACCAUCAACCCUUCAUUAUUCUCGAUCCUCUUUUAAACACAACCCAAAAACUUGUCUAUGGAUCCAUAAGGUCAAGGUUUUAUGGACCUGUUAACUAGUCAACAAGAAAGCCACACUCUUGAAACCCAUUCGUAUGCUAAGGAGGCGACUAUAGGUGAACAGAAAUCAAAGGAGCGUAGAAGGAAGUGGUCACACACAAAAGAUGUGGUGCUCAUUGGUGCUUGGCUCAACACUAGCAAAGAUGCAAUUGUUGUUGUUGAUCAAAAAUUUAGUACUUUUUGUUCACGAAUCGCAAGAUAUUGUGCUGGAAGUCCUAAGCUAGUUGGUGUAGAAAAGAGAGAGCCUAGGCAUUGUAAGCAAAGGUGGCAGAAGAUCAACGAAACAGUCUACAAGUUUGUUGGAAGCUAUGAGGCUGCAACAAAGCUGAAAUCAAGUGGCCAGAAUGAAGGUGAUGUCAUGAAAUUGGCCAAUGAAAUCUUCUUAAAUGAUUAUAAGGUGAAGUUCACCCUUGAGCAUGCUUGGAGGGAGCUUCGCAAUGAUAAAAAAUGGUGUGAUCCAAUUCUGCGAAAGGUAAUGGAGCAUCAAAGAGAAGGAAGUGUGAUGAUCUUCAUUCACAAUCAUCAAGCUCGGUUCCAGUUACUCAUGUAGAGGAGGAAGUUCGGCCUACUGGUAUUAAGGCAACAAAG
This is a non-coding RNA of Camelina sativa (false flax), 2144 nucleotides long. Lineage: Eukaryota; Viridiplantae; Streptophyta; Magnoliopsida; Brassicales; Brassicaceae. The record is from RefSeq and is a predicted model, not a curated record.